RNAcentral lists this ribosomal RNA (251 nucleotides) under uncultured bacterium. Its description in RNAcentral is "partial 16S ribosomal RNA". It matches the Rfam family "Bacterial small subunit ribosomal RNA", at positions 1250 to 1500 of the family's 1533-position model. The record is from RNAcentral.
CGAUGCGGCGACGCGGAGCGAACCCCAGAAACAGCGCCCCAGUUCGGAUUGCAGCCUGCAACUCGGCUGCAUGAAGCUGGAAUCGCUAGUAAUCGCGGAUCAGAAUGCCGCGGUGAAUACGUUCCCGGGUCUUGUACACACCGCCCGUCACACCAUGGGAGUUGGGAAUGCCCGAAGUCAGUGGCCCAACCGUAAGGGGGGAGCUGCCGAAGGCAGAUCCGAUGACUGGGGUGAAGUCGUAACAAGGUACC